UAUGUCGGGAAGGGAUAAGCGCUGAAAGCAUAUAAGCGCGAAACCCACCACAAGAUGAGAUUUCUUUAAAGGGCCGUGGGAGACUACCACGUUGAUAGGCCAUAGGUGUAAAGGCAGUAAUGUCAUAGCCGAGUGGUACUAAUAACCCGUAAGCUUAUGUACA
RNAcentral lists this ribosomal RNA (163 nucleotides) under Leeuwenhoekiella sp. RNAcentral describes it as "partial 23S ribosomal RNA". It matches the Rfam family "Bacterial large subunit ribosomal RNA", at positions 2750 to 2925 of the family's 2925-position model. Lineage: Bacteria; Pseudomonadati; Bacteroidota; Flavobacteriia; Flavobacteriales; Flavobacteriaceae. The record is from RNAcentral.